RNAcentral lists this long non-coding RNA (1612 nucleotides) under Equus asinus (donkey). RNAcentral's name for it is "lncRNA (ENSEASG00005028244.1)". Lineage: Eukaryota; Metazoa; Chordata; Mammalia; Perissodactyla; Equidae. The record is from RNAcentral.
CGAGCACGAGUGCACGCGGUGCCCCGCCUCUAGGAGACGUCGAUGGACUCCCCAGGCCCCAAGGGACGAGGGCUCAGCAGGCCCGGUCGGGGCCUGGAGACCAGCGGCUGGGAGCAGUGAGCUGCAGCUGCUUGCUCCUUGCCGAAGCUCCAGGAAGCGGGAAUGCUGGCCCUGAGGUGAGGUGAGGAGCAGAGGGCCCCUUCGUGGGAUUCAGGCCUCGGCUGCAGGGGGCCUGCUUUCUUCCCCAGACCGUGGUUCCAUCCCCAUAACGCACAUCCCCAUACCGCAGCCCAUCUUCCUUUUAGGAAGUCCUUUUAGCAUGUCCACCACUGCUCUUUGUGGCAAAUGCCCCCAGGACGUCGCCUCCUCUUCGGAGCCCAUAGCAUCUGCUCAGUCAGCCUCUCUUCCUCCUCCCUCCGGGCAGCACCCUGCAGAACUCACUGUCCCAGAUGGGCUGUCUGAGCCCUCGCCUUUGCAGUUUCUUAUCCUUCACCCUUCCAGUGACCGGUGUCCAUCUAGCCCACCCCCCCAGCUGUCCCCUGGGAACUUGCUGCCACGAGGCCUCUCGGUGCUCACCACUCUGGCUCUGCCGUCCCCCUCUCUGGCACAGAUGUUCUCCUGCCUGGCUCAUCCUCUCUGCUCCGUGUUACUUCUCUGCAUCCCCUCCCCUCUGCUGCGCCUGUUACCCAUUUUCCUCACUUGCCGAGAGGUGCAGAGUGCACCAUGGAGAAUGCUGCCUCUGCCUCCCAUGUGCUUCUUUGAGGCCCAGGGAAGGUUCCCGUUGGCUCCUGCCACGUGUUUUGCAGCACCACAGGUCUGGGACCGGCUUGACCCAAACUCCCAGUUUCCCCCAUAUACUUCUCGGCAGGUCCGGUUUCCUCCUCUCUGAAACGCCUUUUGCCCGUCUUUCUGUUGAGCUGCUGGUCUCUUUGGUGCGGAGUUGUGGGAGCUGGUUCUGAAGCCUGGGUGCUCAUCUCCCCUUGGUUGUUUGCGUUUCAGAUUCCUCCUCUGGCCCUCGGGGGCUGCUCUCCUCCUCCCUUUGCAUGCCUGCUUUGCACUCGGCAUUCACCUAGACUCUGGAAGUAGCAAACUUCUGCAGUGUACAAUUUUAUGACUUUGGACUGAAGCACAAAGCCGUGUAUCCAUCACCACAAUCAAGAUACAGAAGAGUUCUAUCACACCGCAAAUUGCCUGAAAGAAACAUUUCAACAGAGAACCAAGUCAAAAUUGAGACGUUAUCUUCUCAAAGUGCUGAACUCCCAUCCCUGCCGCAGAAGGAACUCCUCUGUUCACAGAAGCUGAAGCCAGUCCGAAGUCCAGCUCCUUCCCAAGGGUAAUCCUGUUUGGAUGUUGGAUGCACACCUGCCCAAGCAUUGUGCUCUCGAAAUGACGAAUUUUUGGAUUCAGUUAUGAGGUGCCCACAUGCUCGGACAUAAAUGGCUCACAGCAUAAUGGUGGCAGAGAGAACUAUUAUGUUGUUCUACAUUUUCUGUCUCCUUGCUCCUCAAUUGCAAACUUACAUUUUUUUUAAGUUUAAAAUUACAUUGUAGAAAAAGUGUAAAAUGCAGAAAGAUGAAAAUAAAUAAAUCAUCUGUGGCCCUACCACUUGGAG